RNAcentral lists this ribosomal RNA (1256 nucleotides) under Salmonella enterica subsp. enterica serovar Bovismorbificans. RNAcentral's name for it is "partial 23S ribosomal RNA". It matches the Rfam family "Bacterial large subunit ribosomal RNA", at positions 1 to 1190 of the family's 2925-position model. The record is from RNAcentral. Lineage: Bacteria; Pseudomonadati; Pseudomonadota; Gammaproteobacteria; Enterobacterales; Enterobacteriaceae.
GUUGUGAGGUUAAGCGACUAAGCGUACACGGUGGAUGCCCUGGCAGUCAGAGGCGAUGAAGGGCGUGCUAAUCUGCGAUAAGCGCCGGUAAGGUGAUAUGAACCGUUAUAACCGGCGAUACCCGAAUGGGGAAACCCAGUGUGACUCGUCACACUAUCAUUAACUGAAUCCAUAGGUUAAUGAGGCGAACCGGGGGAACUGAAACAUCUAAGUACCCCGAGGAAAAGAAAUCAACCGAGAUUCCCCCAGUAGCGGCGAGCGAACGGGGAGGAGCCCAGAGCCUGAAUCAGCAUGUGUGUUAGUGGAAGCGUCUGGAAAGGCGCGCGAUACAGGGUGACAGCCCCGUACACAAAAGCGCAUGUGCUGUGAGCUCGAUGAGUAGGGCGGGACACGUGGUAUCCUGUCUGAAUAUGGGGGGACCAUCCUCCAAGGCUAAAUACUCCUGACUGACCGAUAGUGAACCAGUACCGUGAGGGAAAGGCGAAAAGAACCCCGGCGAGGGGAGUGAAAAAGAACCUGAAACCGUGUACGUACAAGCAGUGGGAGCCCCACCACUAAGCCAGUGGUGAACUCCACAUACGCAUCCUUUGCUGAGGAUACGGUUAACGGAGCGAAAGCGACGUUCAACCUCAAAAGAAGCAGAGGGGGCUUAGUGGUGGGGUGACUGCGUACCUUUUGUAUAAUGGGUCAGCGACUUAUAUUCUGUAGCAAGGUUAACCGUAUAGGGGAGCCGUAGGGAAACCGAGUCUUAACCGGGCGUUAAGUUGCAGGGUAUAGACCCGAAACCCGGUGAUCUAGCCAUGGGCAGGUUGAAGGUUGGGUAACACUAACUGGAGGACCGAACCGACUAAUGUUGAAAAAUUAGCGGAUGACCUGUGGCUGGGGGUGAAAGGCCAAUCAAACCGGGAGAUAGCUGGUUCUCCCCGAAAGCUAUUUAGGUAGCGCCUCGUGAAUUCAUCUCCGGGGGUAGAGCACUGUUUCGGCUAGGGGGCCAUCCCGGCUUACCAACCCGAUGCAAACUGCGAAUACCGGAGAAUGUUAUCACGGGAGACACACGGCGGGUGCUAACGUCCGUCGUGAAGAGGGAAACAACCCAGACCGCCAGCUAAGGUCCCAAAGUCAUGGUUAAGUGGGAAACGAUGUGGGAAGGCCCAGACAGCCAGGAUGUUGGCUUAGAAGCAGCCAUCAUUUAAAGAAAGCGUAAUAGCUCACUGGUCGAGUCGGCCUGCGCGGAAGAUGUAACGGGGCUAAACCAU